Molecule: ribosomal RNA, 497 nt
Filed under: uncultured bacterium
Lineage: Bacteria
Description: partial 16S ribosomal RNA
Rfam family: Bacterial small subunit ribosomal RNA
Source: RNAcentral
GAUGAACGCUGGCGGCGUGCCUAAUACAUGCAAGUCGAGCGAACAGACGAGGAGCUUGCUUCUCUGACGUUAGCGGCGGACGGGUGAGUAACACGUGGAUAACCUACCUAUAAGACUGGGAUAACUUCGGGAAACCGGAGCUAAUACCGGAUAAUAUAUUGAACCGCAUGGUUCAAUAGUGAAAGACGGUUUUGCUGUCACUUAUAGAUGGAUCCGCGCCGCAUUAGCUAGUUGGUAAGGUAACGGCUUACCAAGGCAACGAUGCGUAGCCGACCUGAGAGGGUGAUCGGCCACACUGGAACUGAGACACGGUCCAGACUCCUACGGGAGGCAGCAGUAGGGAAUCUUCCGCAAUGGGCGAAAGCCUGACGGAGCAACGCCGUGUGAGUGAUGAAGGUCUUCGGAUCGUAAGACUCUGUUAUUAGGGAAGAACAAAUGUGUAAGUAACUAUGCACGUCUUGACGGUACCUAAUCAGAAAGCCACGGCUAACUACGUG